AGUGGCCGGGAGGACGCGGGGCGGCGGGCAGGGCCUCCCAAGCCCGGCUGUCCUCGGCCCGUGCGCGGCGCCCGGAGUCCCACUCCUCCCGAUGCUGUCCCCCGCGCCCGGAGGCCGAGCCAAUUCUCUGGGAAGUUCCCGGCUUGGGAGCGGAGCGGCCGGUCGGAAGAACCUCGGGUGCUGGCGCGCCUGAAGUUGCAGACCAGACUGAAAUGUGCGAGACAUGUGCCUUUUUCUUAGGAAAGGCCCCAGGAGCAGAGUGGAGCUCAGAAAGACUCAGCGUGGGUGCUGGGUUCCGGCGCGACCAGCCUGAUACCUAGGUCAGCAUCUCAGCCACACAAGCAGGCGGCAGUUCUGUCAGGAAUUACUACAUCUGGUGAUUCCACUUCUCAUAGCUCACCGCUGGGAGAAUAAUUCCUCAGGAUUAACAAGAUCUAUUCCAGAGGAUCCUCACUGCUGAAGCGAUUUUAGAAGACAGUGUGGUCUGUUGACAGUAUGGAAUAUUCUUUACCCAUCAGAUAUGAUCUGUAUGUGAUUGGAAGGAAAUAAACCAACUGCUAACAACACUUCUCUAUAGAUGUUCAGAUUCAGUAAUUUUUGUAUUUUUCUCUACACUUUUGUUUUUUCAAAUUUCCUAGCACAAGAAGACUUUGACUUACUGCACAUGUCAUUUUAAAUGACCUUUAUAAAGACUCUAUAGAAACAAUUUGCUAUGUCAUGAAAGUAACAAUCAAAAAAAGUAUGCACAUUGUGGCCACAAAGUAAAACUUGUGUGGAAGGCUUCCUUGGAAAACAACCUAUAACUAACUUUCUGGGAGUAAAGCUUCAGGUGGAAGAACAAUUGGAUCAAACUUGGAAAACAUGCCCCCAGUUUGUCUACUCCAUUGAACUUUGCAUGCUUGGAGCCCCUGGCCUCAGCACACUCAAUCGCACAAGCCAGCCUGCAGCACCUGUACAGCACCAUGGGAGUCCCCUGCAGAGCUGCAACUUUGAGAGUGGGUAUAGUGACGUAACUCAGGUUCUUCAAGGGAUGAACACUCCAACUUUGAAACCACUAGC
This 1059-nucleotide long non-coding RNA is filed under the name Homo sapiens (human). Its description in RNAcentral is "non-protein coding CNNM3-DT:18". Lineage: Eukaryota; Metazoa; Chordata; Mammalia; Primates; Hominidae. The record is from RNAcentral.